Canis lupus familiaris (dog) is the source of this 4546-nucleotide long non-coding RNA. RefSeq lists it as uncharacterized. The transcript is spliced from 3 exons. NCBI's taxonomy places the organism in Eukaryota, Metazoa, Chordata, Mammalia, Carnivora, Canidae. The record is from RefSeq and is a predicted model, not a curated record.
AUCAGGUGACCUCCUCCCAAAGAAACCUCCGUGCAGGCCUCUGCAAACCCACACGAGACUCUUAUUUCUCCUGGAAAGGGCUCUUCGAGAACACACUUCUCAACAUUAGCUCUGCAGGGAGGGCAAAAAAAAAAAAAAAAAAAAAAAAAAACAGGUGGGGGACCCAGAGAAAAUCAGAAGUAAUUGCCGGAUUUAAGAUUUUUGCUCAUUUAUUUUAACAAUUAACAGCAGUGAUGUCUGGGGCGAAGGAUCUUCAUUUGCAUACACACUGGAAAUGGUAAACUCUAAAAAUAACCUCGGGAAUUACUGCUCCAAAGCUCACGCUGCUAAUGAGAAAGUUCAGAGGAAACGGUAUUGAUGACACCCGGAUAAUUAGUUGGCUUAAUCCGAGGUAGUUUGGGUUCCCUUGGAUAUAAAAGGUGAGUUCCUGCCAAAGCUUCGGAUACUCAAGCGGAGUGUCAAGUCCUUUCACUUGUGUUAAGCACUUCGAAAUCGUCCAAUUGCCGAUGCUUUGUCGAAAAGAAUGAUGGAAAUGAAUUCUAACACACGCGGUCUUAGAGAAAACCCCAUGAAGUGAUACCAGAAACAAUAAGAAGGGAAAAGGGGAAAAGGGGAAAAGGGGAGAUCCCGUCCUCGCAACACAGGCCAGUUGGUAACCCAGGGGCAUCCGUGAAUCAGAAAGACGUCUGCCACCUGCAAGGUAAUGUGGACUCGGCCGGGAGCCCCUGACCUACGCUGGACUGUGCUCCGCUGGAAUAUUAUCCGGGGCUGGAGGUUCAGGAAGCCCCCAGGCCCCCCCCACCACGGUGCUGACAUCACACCAGAGUGGGGCCGGAAGACCAGGAGCCAGCUGGAGGUGCAGGGCCGGGCCGGGCGGGCACAGGAGCCACAAUCAGGACGGGGCCCGGGCCACACCCUGGGGCACUGAGCUCAGCGGCGCCCAUCACACGACCCUCUUGGCCGUCACGGCCUGGCGGCAACUGUCCAGUAGCCACGGCAAGAGUCGGGGGGCAGUUGUCAGCACCGGGGGCUCCCACGCGUGAGGUCAGAGCCCACGGCCACGCAUGCCUUCUCCCUGUGCUGCAGGCGGGAGCGGGCCCCAGCUGGCCCACCCACCCCACGCGGCCGCCCUGCACUGGCCCCUGUCCGGGACGCUGAGCAAGGCCGCUUGGGUGGGACAGGGACUGCAGAGGCGUCCUGGGUUUUCGGGAGAGAAGAGCGCGCGUGAGCACGAGUGUGCACAAGCACCUGCCACUCAGAGGCUCCCCGAGGCUGCUCGGGGGCCUUUGGGUUCACAGCCGACGCCAGUGUCGAGGCCACCACGCGGUCGUGAUCCUGAAACCCGAGUUCAGAAGGCGCGGACUUCCUUUUACCAGAGGAGGCGGCGACGUCUCCACACAGGUUUAGGUCCUGGCGCACAACAGCGGCCGGAACAGACGCGACCUCACGGUCACCAGCGGAUGCGGGACGGCCAGUCCCAGGGGGCCGACAGGCGGCACAGCCCAGCGGCCGCACCCCCCACCGGGUAGCCCGCGCCUGGGACGCUCUUCCAGAACCGCACCGCCCUGGCUGCCACCCCGGACGCCGGAGAGUUCGUCCCCACGGGCCCCGCACCGCCCUGUCCACCGGAGGAUCCGUCUCCGCAAGUAGAGAUUCAAAAGGUCAGUGACCCCCUCGGCAGCAGCGGGCCACCUGCACCACGGGAAACGGGGACACCUUGAAUUCCCAGGUGGGGAACCGGCUGGUCCCCGCUCCCCGCCCGGCCCAGCCUCGGGGACACUGAGACAAAGACGCAGACGACGCGGCCCCAGGACAGCGUCAGGUCCAGAGGCAGAGUCAGACCCUGAGCACGCGACCGACGACAACGGGCCAGCUCAGCAGGGGGAGGCAGGGGAGGCCUGGCCGGGCUGCAGGGCUGGGCAGGACACCAGGACACCAGGGUUUGUCCUGCUCCCUCUGCUCCCUCCUCCCCGCCCUCCUCCGUCUGGGCACCAAGCACUUCCAGCCUCCCCUUGGCUGCAGAACUGCAGCCCUUCCCGGGGGCAAAACUGCGGUCCGGCCGCGUCUCAGCAGCACCUCAACCUCCCGUGCGGCUCAGAACGUCCCCAAACAGCAGGAGGAAGGUCUGACCACCUCCCCGCUCGGCAGACGAGGCCGAGGCCCGCAGCUCCCACGGGUCUGGCCAGGGUUGCGCGCCCAGCAAGGGUGAACCGGGGUUCUGGACGUCGGGGUGGGGUCCUCGGCCGACUCUGUCCCUGGGGGGACGUGUGCCCACCACGCCCCCGAGGCGAUGGUGAACGUUCAGGGACUAAAGAGAAGAACACUGGGGAAUUUCCAACAAAGGCCUUCUAGAGGAAUCUGCCUUUCAAAAUCCGAGAGACGGGAAAGGAAAGGAUGAUGAAAGACAAAAAAAAAAAAAAAAAAAAAGCCGCGUUCAGCGUGGGUCCCCCGUGGCCUGCCCUCGGGAACCUUCCCGGUGGCCCCCACCUGCGUGCAUUGCACGAGCUGGCUCUCACCUGGAGGGCCGUGCAUCGGCGUGAGCCUCGGCGUGAACGGAGGCAGGAAGGGCCCGACCCGGGAGGCUGGCCCAGGCCCAGCUGCAUGGUGUCCAGUCGUGGUGGCACCUUCCCCAUUUGUGAUCACCAGCAGCCGCCUAUGCCCCCAAAUUGCAACGCUAUUUCAACACCAUUUAAAUCAAGCUUGAUCGCUAAUUAGGCUAAGAUCAGCCAAAGCACCAACCAGGGGGACAUCAAAAACCCAAGAGGGUCUACACCGUGAAGCGGCAUCAUUAAGGGUCUCCCAUUAAGGAAGCAACAGGGGGUGCGGGCGGGGCAGGGAGGACACAAGCUUUUUUUUUUUUUUUUACUUUCUGGGAAUAAACGGCUUCAAAAUUCAUCCAAAACAGGCCUCUUAAGACAUUUCCCCUCUGCUCUGAAUGCUUUAAGCCGGCCCUCUGAUGACAAAAAUGCUCCUGUUAAACCUCAUCAGGAGGCUUUCUUAAGAUGAAGAAUGUUUUAUAAAUUGUAAUGGCUUUAAUCAGGGCCCUCUCUGAAGCUAUUUAGCUCUGCUGCAGCCCAACCAGCGCCUCGAUUACGCCGUUUAUCGGCUCCGUAUUAAUUAAGCAUCAUUACGGGGAUUGAUUCAUAGGCUUUUUCACAGCUCGCGCACCAGAUGGUAGACCAGGCUCCCUCUCCGAUGCUCCGUAAACAUCACCUGGGUUCACUCGUCUCUCCCUGCAGCUGAAUGUUUAAUCAGAUCCUAGUCGUCCUCCAACCGGAUCGCUGCUCUUCCUCGUCCUCUUGGCUCUUCGCGAUUAACAGGGUUCGGGGGAGGCCAAGAGAUCCGAAGGAUAGGAACACCAGCUAAUGGAACGCCUCACGGUUGCCUCAAAGGCAAAACGUCUGAAAACCAAGCGGCCCGUGUGGCCCGCAAUCAGCUCCUCUCCUGACCCCCGACACUUCUCCUUAUUCUCCAGUCACCAAGCUGGGUAGAGACAAACCUGGAAACUUCAACGGACUAAAGGAGACACGUGCCAUCAACUAAAUGGACUCGGAGACUCCCACAAGCUGCCGGCCUGCCGUAUGGAACACCCUGGAUGUUGCCCAAUCUGGUUUUGCUCUAAAAAACCACAAACAGCUAUUUAGUUGUACGUGAAUCUCAUGAUUUUUAAGUACUGGGCUGACCUGAGCGCAGAUGCAUCCAUGGCUUCUGAUCCUUGUCUGACUGCACGCUCGGCCAUCCCUCUGUCCCCCAUCAAACAGGGCCAGGCUCCGUCUGUCCCAUCACUCUCCCCUGCGAGCUCUCUGCUGUCUCUUGCUCUCCAUUCCCUCCGCCCCGUCCAGGCCCUCAUUUCCCAGCCUUAGGAUCGGCUGGGGAGCUGGGGGGCGAGUUAAGCCACAAGCCCCACCCCCAAGCUUUUCGACUUUAAGGAGUCUCAGGUGGGGCCUAACUAUUUGCACAGCAACAAGCUCCCAGGUGAGGCUGACGAUGACCUUCCAGAGACCAUCUUUACGGAAACGUUGCUCUAAAACAUCGCCCCCGCCCAACUCCACCACAAUGAUUCCCCAUUUCCUCCAAAUAAACCUUAAAACUCCCCAGCCCGUCCUCUGGAUCCUCUUCCAUUCGCCCCAAAACUUCAUUUCCCUGAUCUCCUGCGACACUUUCUGGCUCCGGCCAUACCGGUCUCCCCGUGUGUUACCCAAGUGCCUCACGCACUGCCCCCUUGAUCACAUGCAGCUCGUCUUUAGACCUCCCUUGUCUUGUUCAAGUUCAACCUUUUGUUGCAUAUACCCCAAAUCCGCGUCCUCUACGUAGCCAGCACUCAUCAGAUUUCCGCUCUUUUAGUCUCCAAAGUGCUGGCUCUUCAGGUCACUUGGUAUAAUCCAAAGUGCAUGGAAUUCAGAACCAGAGACUCUAAUCAUGAAUCCCAGUUCUUUCGUUAGCUGCGUGACUUGAUUAUUUAACCAUUCUAAACCUGUUUCUUUUUCAGUAAAAGAGAUAACAAUUAUCUGCCUCCCCUGGGUUGCAUAAAGAAUUUUGAAACAAA